Molecule: long non-coding RNA, 7823 nt
Organism: Cephus cinctus (wheat stem sawfly)
Lineage: Eukaryota; Metazoa; Arthropoda; Insecta; Hymenoptera; Cephidae
Exons: 3
Source: RefSeq, a predicted model, not a curated record
GACUAUGUAAUAUCUGGAAUAUUACAUUUCCUUCUUUUUUCAGAAAAAAUAUCAACUCAGUUUGCCAAGACUGUCUCAUACGUAUUCACAAAACUAAGCUAUAACCAGUACGACAGAGCGUCACCUAUUUCAACUAGUCAGGACCUUACUAGUCGUUACUUGUUUCAACAAAUAAGAGGAUCUUACUCCAUAUGUCUGUUUCCCUACAUCGUCUCAGAUCUCUACAUUGCCUGCCUCGAUAUAAAUCAUAGAGCUGCGGAGUAUUCACUUCCAUCAAGAUCCAAGUGAAGGGCUUGGCGAUGACAGAGGGGUAGGGCGUGUCGGAAACUUGAAAUACGUGACGCGAAAUUCUUCAAAUAAGUGACGCAGUUGAAAUAACUGACGUUACAAUAAGUGACGUUUUACUGUACGUAUAAGAACGGUACAUCACGGAACUUGGUAUUUCGACCUGGCAACAAGUAUCGGCAGACACAAAUUAGCAUGUGAUUCUUACUGAUUCCAUGUCCAAGAUAUGUAAACUGUGACGCGCAGUGAAAGCAAAACCUGACGAUGAAGAAGCAUUCUCAAAAGAAUCAAGGAAAGACCUUUCUCUUGCUGCACCAUCUUUCCUAGAACAAAGAAGCCAAUUUGAAUGGCUUUAGAAGGACAUAAGGAUGCAUCAGAGAUAGUACUAGAGCAUAUUUAAAGUACAAUAAUAACGUUGGAAGAUACCAAACAGACUGACGUGUGUAUUGGGCAAAUAAUACUAUGAGUGUAUCAUGCGCUGCAUACAUGGUUCACAUACCUGUGUAGUUCUACGUUAGUUUACAAAAUAUUUAAAUGAAUCACUUUAGCUUUAGCAAUAUCGUUUAAUAAUUGCAAACACAUCAAGACUUUGAUUGGCAUUAGUAAUACAGUCUCCAGGUAGAAUUUCUACGGCCAAUGGAGAGCGUGUAUGGAAAUAAAAUAAAAAAGAAGCCAAGUGAGUGAGUCGAUCGACGAAACGAGUAAUAUGAGUGCGUUGGUGCGUUGUCCGAAAAGUAGGUAGAGAUAUACAUAUAUACAGACAACGAAGAAGAGAAGCUGCUAACUGUAAACGCAAAUAUAUAGAACGUAAUUCCAUGUCAUGUUAUAUAGGUAUUUUCAACGUUCACUAAUGAUAAUGACACUCGUGAAGGCGCAUUGAGGGUGCUUACGUAAGGGAUAAUAUGCGAGUACAUUGUUUAUUUGGGUUAUUGUCAGUUUUAUUUGCAAAACUAGCGCAAUGCCAGGAGGCACUGAUGUUUUUAGGACAGUGGCUAGUCGAGCACAGCCAGGCGUAGGGAUACACUGGGCGUUAGCGCGGAAAUUGAAUUACUUUUGUGCAGCUGCAUCUUUUCUACCAAACAAAAAGGAAGGCUGAAACGUCAUUCGAGAUAUUAUUCCUGAACAAAAACCUUUCACAGUGUCUCCAGGUAAUGAAAAUCUUUAUUAUACAAGAAUCUUACAGUAAUAAAAUCCAAAGUCUAGUUGAAACUAGUAGAAAGACUUUUUAUAACACGAACCAAAACCUUUAUAAGGCUGACACACAGCAUCACUGCCAAACACGCAUCCGUUUCCUGUCCCGAAUUUCCGUGUGUGCAAUAAUGGCUAUCCGCCCACGGACCAUAAUGAAAUAGAAGCUUCGCAUGGUAGCCGAUUCAUUAAUGUACAACAACAAUGCCUUUGCCAUUGGUAAUAAAGACAAGAGAGAAAUGAGAAUCGUGAAACGAGUAAGGUUAUGUAUCACAAGUUACAGGAUGAGAAGAAUGAGCUGUUCGUAAAGCUUUAUUUACAUUGUCAAAGGUUUAUCCGGCGCCAUGCUGCAUCCAUCUGUUAAUAUCUAAAUAACGUCGUGCUACUAGCGGCUGUGGUAUUAAUCUUCGGCUGUCCUUGGUACGACCUUGGCCGAUGAGUCGAUUCGUUAUCGAGUCACAGUGGUCAUUGUUACCUGAUUACCGUUACGCCUAAAGGCCACAACUAAACCUGGUAAACCAAUUGACCAUCAGAAUAUCCAAACAAAAAACGGUGAUGAUUUUAAAACUUGAUAUACAUACACGAUCUUAGAUAUUUUUUUUAUACGGCACCCAGACGCCUUCCUCGAGGGUUCCCAAGAUAAAACAAAGCCCUGGGCGGAAAUAUUAUUCCGUAUCUGUCCUCCAGUGCCUGAAGAAUGACGUGGAGCGUCCUCACUGCAGACGAUACUCCCUUGGCUACGUACACUUCUCCUUGUAUACGGUACAACACGGUAGACCCGUCCUCUCUCGUGUCACGAGAGAUGAAAGGCACUCGUCGUUCUACCUCAAAGAAGAGAAGCAGAGGACCCUUGCAGACAAUGGGGACGAGUACAUAUGACGGGCGGAUUGGUUCCUUGCAAAUACACCAGGGGGAUAUCGAGGCUUGGUCCGCCACUAGGAUUUUUCUUAUUUUCGUUACACCUCUGUUUUUCCUUGUCUGAUUUAACAUACGUAUCAAAAUGAAAUUUCCAUGAUACUUAUAAACCGUGGACUCAUAUAAAAUGGACGUACUCGGGUAACUCUAGUGGAAAAAACUUCCUUGCUCAAUCCAAAGAAUCAGAUUAAUCGUGGAACGACUAGACGAAUUUUCUGAGGACUCAGCCGGGACGCAAGUGACUCAUGAUUCUUGAUCAGCUUGAACGAUGGCGAGAGGAUAACCGAUGGAGUGUACACAUUCUGAUUACGUAUACGGUUGACGUCUAGCGCAACACUUCACGUCCUGUCCGUUGUUUCCACCCAGGGAGAAUAGCAGAAAAACAAAGCCUGUCGAUAUCAAUGUACUUUUGCUUGCAGAUACUUAAUCGUCACCCUGCAUGUAUAAUACAAUGACAAAUUUAUAUGGAUGUUGAGGUACUCGUGAAUUGCAUGUACGUUCAGGUUUUACUUUUUGGUUCCAUAGAAUUUCUAAUUUAAUUUCCAACUAAACUGUCUUUAUCCACGUUUAAGAUUCUUAUGACCACAUACGCCAGUCUUCUUGGAUCUAUCAGACAGCAUCCAUAUACGGGCGAAUGAAUUCACGUGCAAAAGGAAUAAAUUUUCCAAUUACCAACUGACAUCUAUAUCCACCUUUGCUCAGACUGCAAACGCUGUGUGUAUAUACAUCACGUGCAUAAUAGUUGCUACUGGUGAGGCUGAAUUAGCAGAGAUAGGUAUUGUCACGCAUUAGUGCCCGCGACGAACUGCUCUUAUGUACAGGGUGGGACAUUUGAAUUCCAUGAAAAAUUACGUGCAGUCGAGAGUCUUGCUAGAUAUUUGCUCAAGAUGACUGGGUCUCGGUAGUCUCCCGUGUGGAAUCCAGAUUUUUGCAUGCACAUACGGUGCUCCAUUAUUCUGCAACAAUUCAUUUAUAUUUAGUAGACGUUCAGGUAAUUCCAUGUUGUAACGGUUUCCGAUCGAUCGAUAGAUUAACAAGACCCGUUGUAUAGGAAAUGCUUUGGUGAAACUUACGGAGUUUAAACGGCUUUCCCGUGCAUUACAGCCUUUCUUGGAAAACCUUUCCUUCUGGCACUCUCUAUAUUGAAUUAGUCAUUAGUUUUUUCAUCUCAAUACUGUUUUUAUAUUUGUAUGAAUAUAUUGCGUUCGGUCAUUGAACAGCUGACUGGUUGAUUUUAUUCAUUCAAAUUUGAAAUGUGUUCCAUGUACGUUUCUCUCGAUACAUAAUAUCUCUGUAAAUAUAUGGGUUUGCAAUUUAAUUCAUUGUACAUGAAUUCCUGUGGAAUACGUGACAGCCGGUAAUUAUUAACGAAUUUUAUCCGCUAUAACCGCCGGAAACUAUUAAGGAUACUCGGUGAUCUCUGACACAAUAUCGAGCCUUUUGCGACGAAUGACUCACGUACUAACAGUUUUCUUCGAAUAGGAAACUAUUCUUCUAAACUAUACUUCAGAACUAUUGUACCACCAGAGGAUGGUCUACCUUUGGAAUUAAUAGAAAUCAAAUGGACAAAAUCAUCUUUAGGUGGUGAAAUAAUCCUGAGUAUCCGUGUAUAGUAGUAGCUAAAAAUAUUAACACUUGUAUUCUGUACAUUGGAAACGGUUCUUGAGGCUUUUUUGUUUUUAGAAAAAAAAUCAGAUUAUUGUUGAUCCUACUGAAGCUUGGAGACAGACAAUUGUACGGAUUUUCGGUUAAUAAUAAUGAAUUUUAGACUGAAUUACAGCUAAAGAGAAAAAACGUUUCUACAACCGUACCGGAUGUGCCCAACUGUUAAUUCUCAUUAUUUAGAUCUAAUACACUUGGAAUAAUGAACACCGAUGCAAAGCCAUAUACGCCUGCGCAGCAUGAUUUGCAGAUUUAAGUCUUCCUGAGGAACAGAUUGAGCCAGGUUCUGUCUAGCGCGUUUCUAUUCGAGCCACUAGCGCAAACAGAUGAUAUCGUAAUAUCUAGUUGUAACUUCAAUCUUCAUGGAUUCCUGGAGCCCAGUCUGAUAUGUCUUUGGAGUAACUUGAGCGCUGCACAUCUAAGGUUAGGUCGAUCGAUGCUACCGUCUGGCUCAAACGGUCAGGAACGUUGAGUGAGGUUGCGGCCUACCGGGAAAAUCCGAUUUGGUGAAUGUUCAGAUUUCUCAGUACAGCCACGAAUCAGUAAGCUUCAACCACGUUGCCAGUGACAGUCUCAUAUAUAAUUUUGCCAGAAAGAUGAAUGAAUUUUCUCUUUGAGGUAAAAACGGUAUUUAAAAAUACUAGCGCCAUGCCACGAUCUGCGACCGAUCGAUUUCUUUUCUAUUACAUAAUUGUACGAGUAGUAUAUGAAUUACGUCAGUGACUUAAAAUUAUUAUUAAAACAAUGUCAAAUUUAUGUUUAGAUAUAUCAACUAGAAUUUCAGCAUUCAUCAACAAUCGAAACGUACGUCGUGCGAGCGUCAAACAACAAUAAUAAAAUUCAUAGAUGAGAAUGUAAGGAGAGUUCCGCGUUAGGAAUGGGGCUUGACGUCAUUCGCUGACGCAGACAGCCCAGGUAUAUCUUUAUAGGUUACCAUUAUCCAACGAGCAGUGGUUCAAUACUGGACGCCGCUAAGUCACGGACAGAUACUAUUGCGCUGAAUAAUAUAUCUAUAGAAACUAUGAAUAUUUGUACAGUAAAUGAUUAGAUCAGUAUUGGAAGCCUUAAUUAACCUAUAUCAAAGUGGUUCUUUCGAUAAAGAAGUUGAUGACACUUGACCCAGGCUCUACGCACAAGAGUAUUGAGAGGUGCUGCCUCUCUCGGUGAAACUAAGCACACCGUCGGUAUUGCAGAGUUCUGCUAAGCACUGUCGACACUCGUCGAUUCAAAUUCUCGCAUACGAAAAUAAACAGAAACAGAACGCCUCGUGUUUACGGAACGUUGUAACAGGUGUUUUCCGCAUCUGGAAGGGAGGAUUCACAGGUGGUACCAAACGCAACCAUGCUGCUGAGUUUGCAUGACUGAUUAAAAAAAGACACGAUCGAAGUGUCAGAAGAUUUUUUGACCAUCAAUUUGUUCAUAUAAUAAAAAUAACAAUCUUAUCCAUAUGGAUAGAAAUUGAUGACUGCAGUAAAAACGAGUCAGCCUGUCAAUUUUCUAUAAAAACUUUUUCAUCGAGAAACUCUUCAGCCAUAUCAGGUAUGCUUCGGGUCUCUACGUCGUGUACCUCUCUUACAGCAGAAUAUAACAUUCUAAAGAAAGGUCCUCUUUGUGUACCCAAAAGUUAACAUAGUUCACCCUUACCAGUUUCUCCUAAACACCUGCAGAAGUAAAAUGGCUGGACAGGUGCAAUCCUGUGUCUGUUCCCUGGAGUUAUGCAUGCAAGUACACCCUGGCAUAUCCACCAUUUUAUAAUUUCUUCGUAGUAGCUUUUAUACCAGUAUCUAACGUAGCAGCAGAAUAAUAAAUUGGACUAUAGUAAAAUGCAUGCGUCGAUAUGAUGAAAAUAUCUUUAUUGAACCAUAGUAGCAAUUCAAUUGUCCCCGGUCGAUGUUCCUCUUAUUCUAUCGACGCCAGAACACAUAUUAAUUUAUAUAUAUAAGAUUUCUAUAUAUACAGUAUCAUAGCCAUACCGUUCUCCUGCGAAAGUCUCAUAAAAUCGAAACGAGUCGCCGUCCCGUUUUUACUGUGCUGGCAGCAUGAGUCAGUAAGAGUCGAGGCGAGUGCUUUAACAGCGACGGACUAUAGACGAAUCAAUAUGGUCUAAGUUUCGCUGGUUAAUAAGAAGCGCCAGGCGGUAUUCACGGUCGGGCUUCGGGACUUGAGACAACUGCGGAUCACAUCGCGCUUCAUAUUCAUUGCGUUUCCUGGCUGACUUUUACGUCAGGCUUAUCGCGAUUUAGAUGGCGAGAAAAAUACGAGAGAGAGAGAGAGAGAGAGAGAGAAAAGAAGAAAAAAAGGCUACAUGUGUCAGGCUAGCGUGGCCUAACUGGCUUGUUUCCAGGCCGUGCCGCAAGAGGUCAGGCGCUACGUUCUCCGAGGCCACACGACAUGGAUCGGUGACGUAAGAGUAUAAAACCACUAUAAAGGCCUCUCUCGGUUCAUUAGUGUGAACUGCGGAGCAUAGCAUCCUCCAUCCGCUGCUUAUAAACUGUAACGUUCACCGCAAACUUCACUUAAAGUCACUGACUUAAAUCCAAUGAAAAUCGUCCGACUUCCAUUUCUGUUUCUACGUAGAGGCUCGGACGCUCCGAGUUCCCAAGGUGCUUUGACGUUUCUCGCUGCGUAGGAAGAUAGAGAAGUUCUUGUCGGUGACCGAGUUCGAAGUCGAGUACAAGUAGAUAAGGAUGACUUUCGGGGUCGACUUCAGAUCAGAAGUCGUCGGUAAAUCGUACCUCGACCAGAUACGUACAAUCGGGCGCUCUUAAUUACCGACCGAAUUCUUCAGUAACGCGUAAGGAAUUUUUUAACCACUCGACGUAACGAACACCAUGCUCUCGAACUUAGACUGAAAAUUAACAAAAAGGUUGGACACCCCGCGACUACUGUACAGUCAUUAAUCACGCUCGUAAUUAUUAAACGGCGAAGGGUCGUUGAAACUAAUUGAGUUCAAUAUCGAAUUAAGAAUAGCGUAAGAGAUGAUACUUAGUGAGUCAGUGCCAUCUGCUAUGUUUAUACGUAUGUGUUCUAUGGUUUCUGACCGGUAAAGUAGUCUACAUGUUUUUUUUUGUAUUUACUUAAAUUUAAUACACCUUAUAUCUAUAUUACUGUAUACCCGAGUACAGUACCUAUAAAAUAUUAUGCGCCCUUCUCUUCAAAGAAAAACUUUCCCUCUCGACCAUUCGUAGACGCUUCGAUAUACGUCACGGAGGAUGUACUCCUCUAUGUCGAAUACACGAGUGAGCAAGAGGAAGAUAUAAAAAGAAAAAAUUUUUAAAAAAUAAAGGAGAGACACACCCACGCGAUUCUUCGUAAAAGCUCGCGUGCCAUGAAUACACGCCCAUUUGUUUACCUGCAUCGCUUUACGAAUAGAACGCGUUUUUGUCUCUCUACUUUUUCUAUACUCCCGUCUCUCCUUAUGCUCGCUCGAUCUUUAUACCUAUACGGCGCUCAUGAAGAUAGUACGAGAAUUAACCGCAAUCCGAAUGAUUCACCGUCAUCAAGAGCGACUCUGGCUUUCCCCUGUGCUCACUUAACCGGCAUUCAGGAUCUCGAAUCAGCCAGCUCCGAGUGCCAGAACGAUUCCCAGAAACAGCAACGCGGGAUACGUAACAAGAAAUAGCAAUGCAAGUUAUAAUCAGUGAAGAUAUAUAGCCAUUAAUUAUAAAUUUGUUAUCGAUCACUGGUAAAUACCAAUGAACAUUUCUAUGGUAGAUUAAUCCUUAAAGUAUACAUAUGUUUAUGAGAAAGAAAUAUACAUAAAUAUUGGCAAA